GACGAACGCUGGCGGCGUGCUUAACACAUGCAAGUCGAACGGAAAGGCCCUGCUUUUGUGGGGUGCUCGAGUGGCGAACGGGUGAGUAACACGUGAGUAACCUGCCCUUGACUUUGGGAUAACUUCAGGAAACUGGGGCUAAUACCGGAUAGGAGCUCCUGCUGCAUGGUGGGGGUUGGAAAGUUUCGGCGGUUGGGGAUGGACUCGCGGCUUAUCAGCUUGUUGGUGGGGUAGUGGCUUACCAAGGCUUUGACGGGUAGCCGGCCUGAGAGGGUGACCGGCAGGCUGGGGGCGGGGAGAGGGCCAGGGGGCGGAGGGAAGGGAGGGGGGGGCAAGGGGCGACGAGUGGCGGGAGCGCGGGGCGGCAGCGCGGGGUGGGGGAUGACGGCCUGUGGGUGGUGACUGGGCCUCUCCGGGGGAGGGGAGUGGGUGAGGGAAAGGGGAAAAGAACGAUCGGCAAACGCCGUGCCAGCAGCCGCGGUAAUACGCGGAAGAGCCCCCGUGUGACC
RNAcentral lists this ribosomal RNA (509 nucleotides) under uncultured bacterium. Its description in RNAcentral is "partial 16S ribosomal RNA". It matches the Rfam family "Bacterial small subunit ribosomal RNA", at positions 35 to 539 of the family's 1533-position model. The record is from RNAcentral.